AUAAACCACAAGGGGAGAUGGAAAAGGCCAUCUGAGAGUAAGGUCCAAUUAACCUUAGACCCUUUAACCUGAUCUGGGUAAUGCCAGCGUAGGGAUGUGGGGAGAAAUUUAG
RNAcentral lists this non-coding RNA (112 nucleotides) under Caloramator mitchellensis. RNAcentral describes it as "TPP sequence". It matches the Rfam family "TPP riboswitch aptamer (THI element)". From Rfam's summary of the family: Vitamin B(1) in its active form thiamin pyrophosphate (TPP) is an essential coenzyme that is synthesised by coupling of pyrimidine and thiazole moieties in bacteria. The previously detected thiamin-regulatory element, thi box was extended, resulting in a new, highly conserved RNA secondary structure, the THI element, which is widely distributed in eubacteria and also occurs in some archaea. Analysis of operon structures identified a large number of new candidate thiamin-regulated genes, mostly transporters, in various prokaryotic organisms. The record is from Rfam by way of RNAcentral. Lineage: Bacteria; Bacillati; Bacillota; Clostridia; Eubacteriales; Clostridiaceae.